RNAcentral lists this ribosomal RNA (253 nucleotides) under uncultured bacterium. RNAcentral's name for it is "partial 16S ribosomal RNA". It matches the Rfam family "Bacterial small subunit ribosomal RNA", at positions 524 to 776 of the family's 1533-position model. The record is from RNAcentral.
UACGGGAGGAGCGAGCAUUAUUCGGAGUUACUGGGCGUAAAGGGUGUGUAGGCGGUUUUUUAAGUUUGGUGUGAAAUCUCCCGGCUCAACCGGGAGGGUGCGCCGAAUACUGAGGGACUAGAGUGCGGGAGAGGAAAGUGGAAUUCCUGGUGUAGCGGUGAAAUGCGUAGAUAUCAGGAGGAACACCGGUGGUGUAGACGGCUUUCUGGACCGUAACUGACGCUGAGACACGAAAGCGUGGGUAGCAAACAGG